RNAcentral lists this ribosomal RNA (440 nucleotides) under uncultured bacterium. RNAcentral's name for it is "partial 16S ribosomal RNA". It matches the Rfam family "Bacterial small subunit ribosomal RNA", at positions 338 to 795 of the family's 1533-position model. The record is from RNAcentral.
CCUACGGGUGGCAGCAGUGGGGAAUAUUGCACAAUGGGGGGAACCCUGAUGCAGCGACGCCGCGUGAGUGAAGAAGUAUUUCGGUAUGUAAAGCUCUAUCAGCAGGGAAGAAGAUGACGGUACCUGACUAAGAAGCCCCGGCUAACUACGUGCCAGCAGCCGCGGUAAUACGGAGGGGGCAAGCGUUAUCCGGAUUUACUGGGUGUAAAGGGAGCGUAGACGGGAGGGCAAGUCUGGAGUGAAAGCCCGGGGCCCAACCCCGGGACUGCUUUUGAAACUGCCAUGCUAGAGUGCUGGAGAGGUAGGCGGAAUGCCUGGUGUAGCGGUGAAAUGCGUAGAUAUUAGGAAGAACACCAGUGGCGAAGGCAGCUUACUAAACAGUAACUGACGUUGAGGCUCGAAAGCGUGGGGAGCAAACAGGAUUAGAUACCCCUGUAGUC